RNAcentral lists this ribosomal RNA (465 nucleotides) under Vreelandella stevensii. RNAcentral describes it as "partial 16S ribosomal RNA". It matches the Rfam family "Bacterial small subunit ribosomal RNA", at positions 338 to 795 of the family's 1533-position model. Lineage: Bacteria; Pseudomonadati; Pseudomonadota; Gammaproteobacteria; Oceanospirillales; Halomonadaceae. The record is from RNAcentral.
CCUACGGGUGGCUGCAGUGGGGAAUAUUGGACAAUGGGGGGAACCCUGAUCCAGCCAUGCCGCGUGUGUGAAGAAGGCCCUCGGGUUGUAAAGCACUUUCAGUGAGGAAGAACGCCUGGUGGUUAAUACCCAUCAGGAAAGACAUCACUCACAGAAGAAGCACCGGCUAACUCCGUGCCAGCAGCCGCGGUAAUACGGAGGGUGCGAGCGUUAAUCGGAAUUACUGGGCGUAAAGCGCGCGUAGGUGGCUUGAUAAGCCGGUUGUGAAAGCCCCGGGCUCAACCUGGGAACGGCAUCCGGAACUGUGAAGCUAGAGUGCAGGAGAGGAAGGUAGAAUUCCCGGUGUAGCGGUGAAAUGCGUAGAGAUCGGGAGGAAUACCAGUGGCGAAGGCGGCCUUCUGGACUGACACUGACACUGAGGUGCGAAAGCGUGGGUAGCAAACAGGAUUAGAUACCCUAGUAGUC